This 656-nucleotide ribosomal RNA is filed under the name uncultured bacterium. RNAcentral's name for it is "bacterial SSU rRNA". The stretch from base 1 to 549 matches the Rfam family "Bacterial small subunit ribosomal RNA", at positions 338 to 873 of the family's 1533-position model. The record is from RNAcentral.
CCUACGGGAGGCAGCAGUAGGGAAUAUUGGGCAAUGGAGGCAACUCUGACCCAGCCAUGCCGCGUGCAGGAUGAAGGCGCUCAGCGUUGUAAACUGCUUUUAUCAGGGAAGAACUAUGGGGAUGCGUCCUUAUUUGACGGUACCUGAGGAAUAAGCACCGGCUAACUCCGUGCCAGCAGCCGCGGUAAUACGGAGGGUGCAAGCGUUGUCCGGAUUUAUUGGGUUUAAAGGGUGCGUAGGUGGUUUUUUAAGUCUGGUUUGAAAGCAAGUGGCUCAACCAUUUGAUGUGGCUGGAAACUGGGGAACUUGAAUGGAUUGGCGGUAGCCGGAACGGGUCAUGUAGCGGUGAAAUGCAUAGAUAUGACCCAGAACACCGAUUGCGAAGGCAGGCUACUACGAUUUGAUUGACACUGAGGCACGAGAGCAUGGGUAGCGAACAGGAUUAGAUACCCUGGUAGUCCAUGCCGUAAACGAUGAUUACUGGCUGUGUGUGUUNUAGCAUGCGUGGCGUGAGACGAAAGGACGGUUAAAGGUUAAACGUUACCGACCCGUACGGGGAGGGUACGGCGUGGCGAACGAAGUAGUAAACGUUAAAAUUAAGUAAGUUAGUACGGACGUUGAGACGUUGCCGACGGACGACGACGAGGGGAGGAGGG